Chinchilla lanigera (long-tailed chinchilla) is the source of this 1331-nucleotide long non-coding RNA. Lineage: Eukaryota; Metazoa; Chordata; Mammalia; Rodentia; Chinchillidae. The record is from Ensembl.
GCGACAUAUUUCCAAAGAGGUAGCUACAAACAGUUCUAGCAAUGCCUUUGAUAUAAGAAAUGCCUGGAAACUUACUUCUCUGACAAUUACAGCUACUUUGUGUGGUUUCCGCACGGAGCAUCAGCUGUAUCUUCACUAGCAAGCUGCAUCCGACUACCUCUGCGUUAAAUCUGCUUCAGAUGGAUGUCUUCCGCCCACUGUGGAGAGUAGUAUGUGAAAUGAAGUCAUUCUUCUCACUCCCGCUAAAGCCAAGAUAAAGAGCCAUGAGGGAAGGCAUUGCUCCAGGAACUUUCUCACAAGGCCAAUUUAAUGAAACAUCCUGCUGUUACUUUAAGACAAUAGUUACUUUAAUAAUAGUUCUGUUUAGUAACUGAUGACAAACAACUGACCGUGAUUCAGACUAACUUUAUAAACCAGGCGUUGGGGCACCUGCCUAUAAACCCAACACUCUGGGAAACAGAGGCAGAAGGAUUUCAAGUAUAGUAGGAGCCUACCUUGGGCAAUUUAGUGACUUUAUAAGAUCCUAUCUCAAAUUAAAAUAUAAAAAAGGGCUGGAAGUUAGUUCACUAUGAAGGCCCUGGGUUCAGUUUCUAGCAGAACCACAUAUACAUACAUGUUCACACACACACACAUACGUACGAAGACUAACUUUAUAUAGUAACUGUGGGCACUUCAAAGGCCAUUGAAAUUGUAAAAAAAAUGAUUUGCAUCAAUUCAUCUGCAAUUAAGACACGAAUUAGCUGAAUUAGCUUCAAGUUUCCCUUUGUUCUUUAGAAGAACAAAAGGGCUUUCUGACCUUUGUGUAUGUACUAACUGGCAGUUCUGAUUUCCUGUUUUAGUCCCAGAUGUUCCUUUAUCAGAAAUUUUCCUGCAUAUUUUUCUUCGAGGUUUCACAGCACCAUGAGCUUUCCCGAGUGUAUUCCCAGGCCAAGCCACUAAGCGGAGCACAAUUAAGCCUCGUCCUGAAGGCGUUUGAGACGGUGACACUUUUUGACCUACUGUUGUGUCUCCUGGAUGCUACUUCUGCCCAGGACGUCUGCACCUUGUUGUUUUCCCUUUUUGCUUCUAAGGACUGCACAUUUGACCUCCAGGGAAUUCCUUCAGCUCCUCAGAGUCCCAUGGUAGAAGGAAAUCACCGUACCAUUUUGUGAAGAGCUAUGUUUGCUAGAAGAGAAAACUUCCCCUUCUUCCUCAUUUGUUGCCCUUAAUUAUUUUCAAUUCCAGUAGCUUCUUAAAUUGAACCAUAUAAAUGUGAAUGAAUAGGUUAUUCUUCCUUAUCACAGGGAAUUAAUUCUUUAGAUAUAGCUACAAUUAAAGAAUUUUAAACACAU